GAAGGAGUGAGGCCCAGUGUGGGCGAACGCUGAGGACACCCCACUCAGUGAGAGAAGCCAGACCCAGAGGCCACACCGUGCGAAACCCCAUUUCUAUGAAAUGUCCAGGACAGGCCAGUGCUCAGAGGCAGGAAGGGGUGCGUAGGUGUGGAGGCUGGAGGGUGACAGCGGAUGGGGGUGGGUUUUCCUUGGAGGGUGAAAAUGCUCUACAUUUGAAGGCGAAGAUGGUUGCCCCAGUCUGUGGGUACACAAGCUCCUGCGUCGCACACCUGGUGAAUUGUAGGGCACGCAAAUCUCACUGAAAUCGUCCAGAAACAUCCUUCCCCCGGAUCAGUUCUUAGCAAAUGAGGAACAGUAAUCCAGAAUAAAAAAUGGGUGGCCUUUCUGGAAGGCCGUCUGCCGUGGACUACACGCGUGCCUCCUGUGGCCAGCGCUUCUGUCUCGGGAACAUAUGCAUACUGGUUCCGUGUCUGAGGACAGCUGUAGCCUCGAUUGUUGUAGUGGGAAGUUGUAUGACCGGGGGUGGGUUGAGCCAGUGGAACGUUGUGCAGCCGGGAAAAUGUGUUUGCUCCCUGGGGUGUGCUCUGUGUCUUUGGGCUUGGAGAGGUGCACGCAGCACUUUAAGUGAACAAACAGGCUCCGACGGCGACUGUGGUGAUUCCCAUUUGUGGUGGGGUUGUGGUUCUCAAGCUGGGAAAGGGAGAUUUGCCCAACUAUUGGUUGAUAUUAGUUUGAUGUCACGGAAUUUGGGAUACCUUAAAAAUACGCGCUAACUUUUCAA
Mandrillus leucophaeus (drill) is the source of this 781-nucleotide long non-coding RNA. RefSeq lists it as uncharacterized. The record is from RefSeq and is a predicted model, not a curated record. The transcript is spliced from 2 exons. Lineage: Eukaryota; Metazoa; Chordata; Mammalia; Primates; Cercopithecidae.